GACGAACGCUGGCGGCGUGCUUAACACAUGCAAGUCGAACGGAAAGACCCUGCUUUUGUGGGGUGCUCGAGUGGCGAACGGGUGAGUAACACGUGAGUAACCUGCCCUUGACUUUGGGAUAACUUCAGGAAACUGGGGCUAAUACCGGAUAGGAGCUCCUGCUGCAUGGUGGGGGUUGGAAAGUUUCGGCGGUUGGGGAUGGACUCGCGGCUUAUCAGCUUGUUGGUGGGGUAGUGGCUUACCAAGGCUUUGACGGGUAGCCGGCCUGAGAGGGUGACCGGCCACAUUGGGACUGAGAUACGGCCCAGACUCCUACGGGAGGCAGCAGUGGGGAAUAUUGCACAAUGGGCGGAAGCCUGAUGCAGCAACGCCGCGUGCGGGAUGACGGGCUUCGGGUUGUAAACCGCUUUCGCCUGUGACGAAGCGUGAGUGACGGUAAUGGGUAAAGAAGCACCGGCUAACUACGUG
Molecule: ribosomal RNA, 468 nt
Filed under: uncultured bacterium
Lineage: Bacteria
Description: partial 16S ribosomal RNA
Rfam family: Bacterial small subunit ribosomal RNA
Source: RNAcentral